RNAcentral lists this long non-coding RNA (1497 nucleotides) under Phasianus colchicus (ring-necked pheasant). Its description in RNAcentral is "lncRNA (ENSPCLG00000003899.1)". The record is from RNAcentral. Lineage: Eukaryota; Metazoa; Chordata; Aves; Galliformes; Phasianidae.
AUUAGGUGUAUUUGUGAAGGUGAAUGCAAUAAAGGAAUACAUUUUUUUUCAGUGCAUCAGAGGAAGGGGCUCUAAAUACCCUCUCCUGAGGAAUUCAGCUGCAUAUCAGUGAAGGUAAAGUGGAUAUAAGAAAAAUGCCAUGUGUAUGGAGAGCAUUAGGAAAGGUCAUAUAUUUCAAGAAAGAAUAUUGUUUACAAGGAGUGUUAAUAGGUUUCAAGGGAAAUGUUAAUUUUUUUUUCCUGGCUGAAAUAGCUACUGCAAGUUUUUAAUGGUUAAUCAUUCAUUCUUGAAUUUUUAUAUUAAGCAUUUCAUAUUACUUUAUUGACUUAACUUUUAUGCUCUUCUUCAUUUUGACAGUAAAGAAUGACCAGGCAAUACUCUUUGAAAAUUGGAGACCAUUUGCAGCUGCUCUCUGCUGAGGAAAGUGAAUAAUAGGGUGCCCUCAAGGAAUUUCAAAGAGAGCAACAGGAUGAGAUGACAGCUUUUCUCAUGGCCCUGUUAAUAGUUUUUGCUAACAAGGAAAGGGGAAGGGAAUAAUUCUUUGCAAUAAUAUUGACUUCUUCUGUGAUCUUGGCAUCACCACUUGAGUGGAAGCAGGAAUGCUGGAGAAGCCAGAGCCAAACAUGAGUCUCUUCUGGCAAAUACAGGUCACAGUGAACUGUGAAUCUUUGAAGGAUGGAAUUUGGCUCACCAAACCUCUCAGUCCUGGAAUGAUGACUGCCCUAAGAAGAGAAAGAAAUGUGUACAACGACUGUCAAGCCUUGCUUUGCUCCGUAUUUGCCUGCUUUCUUCUGAUACAUGCAAGCAAAACUUCUGACACGGCUGAAGAGCUGACUGGAUCAAUCUGCGAUAGGAGAAAAGGCAUUCAUGAAGGUUUCACAGAAUGCAGUAGUUGAGGAAGUUGCUGGAAAAUCUUUGUGGGUCCGGGAGGAACAUCAGACCAGCUUUACCAUCCUAACACCUUGUCCUGCCAAAAACUCCAAAACCAUUAACUAUUGACACAUAUAACCAAGAAGAUUUAUGCAUGUGAACGCUGAAGGCAGUGGUGAAAUUCUGCGCUAGAGAACAGUUGCACAGCAGUGAUUUGUGAAACACUAUGAAGCUGCAUCCUGAGAACAGGAAAAAAAGAAUGCAUGAGCUCCGUUGCCCUGGUUUGUAGAACUGACAACUUGGGGAGCCUGUGCUGGCUGCAGCGGGUAUGUGUGCAUAGUGAGUAGAACAGCCCUUGUUUUAAUUUGUAUUGAUCAUGUACGCAGGGAUUUUCCAAGAUAAUCUAAGGGAAUACACAGCCCAAUUCAAUAAGAUAUGGUGAUUGUAUUUCCCUCAUGGUCCUUGUUAAUUUACUUUAAAAAUAUCUUUUGCUUUAGUAUAUAAAUGCUCCAGAAAAAUAUUUACAGUGAAUGGCUGCCUGAUUUCUUUUGAAAUCUACCCAAUUAACACAACACGACAAAAUAUUACAAAUUGGAAUCAUAUGCAUGAUUUUUCAGUCAUCAAUGA